Equus caballus (horse) is the source of this 4978-nucleotide long non-coding RNA. The record is from Ensembl. Lineage: Eukaryota; Metazoa; Chordata; Mammalia; Perissodactyla; Equidae.
CUUUUUUUAAAUCUCAAAUUAUAUUUCUCCCUAAAACUAGAACACCUACAAUAUGUUUCCAUUUUGGUAAUUUGUGUAUUGUUGGAAUUUUCCCCCCAGCUUCAAACAUCCUUUGAAAAUAACACACUUUUUUCUAAAAAUAAGAAAUGGUUCUAAAACGAUAGAGGAAAAAUAUGCUCGUCUAACCAUAUUUUUUUUAGAGAAAAAAACCAAGCUGCUUUAAAAACUGAAAGACAAAGAAAGUAUAUUUCACUAUAAAUUAUUCAUUGCACUCAUUUUGGAUCAAUAUUUAUAGAUAUUCACAUGCUUUUUAUAAAGCUUGGGAGAUUCUUUUAAAUGUCAUAAUUUCCUCCUCAAAGUCAAUGUCAGAAGCACAGCUUAGUACUGGCAAUAAAUGAGCGCCACUUGAGGCACAUGCCCUAUUUUCUCCAUCCUUUAGCAUCAGGGCAGCUUGAAACACUGUGGAUUUCUGCCACUCCAAAACACCUCAUUACUGACCUACUACGUUCUGCCAAGUGGCUGAAUUUUAUAGGAAUAAACAGAGAAACUGGUCGCCCUAACCCCCUGAAUAAGAACAGAAAUGCAGCCACUCAGGAUCAUGGUUCUAAAUAGCAGAAUUUGGAGUAAGUAGAAUUUGCAUUCAAUCCCAUGAACCCACAGUAAGCGAGCAAUGAAGGUUCCUAGAAAGCCUGGUUGUGGGGGGCCCUGCUUACACUUCACAGCUUUCUGGAGAACCAUUUCCUGCCUUUGGUUUGCUGGGGACAAGUCUGAAGAAGAGGUUUAGAAGAGAGAGGGGGUCAAAUCAGAGAAUGCCCUGCCAAUAUCAAAUAUCAUCUGCGUCACUCCUUUCAUGCUCCCAAGAGCUCAGAUUUCCCUACUGUGAAAAGAUCAGCAACUACAGGGCUCUCUUCUUAGGCCGUUUGCCAGGAGCAUUGCUGCAGUGACAGAAAAACGGUUUUCAAAAGCUGCCACAAUUAAUUCACCUAUCUUCUUUAGGAACCAAAAAAAUUUCCUCCUUGCACCAUCAGAAAAACAUUGUUUUUGUAUCUUCCUCAUUUUUUGUUUUUGAUUACCUGCCCUUCCUAAGGCAAAAGAAUGGGAAAGCAAAAGAAUUUUGGAAAUUCUAAGCAUAGUAAAAAGUCAAAGAAAUUAUCACCGUUAUUCUUACUGACUGCACAAACAAUUUUCUUUUCUGUUACGUUGAAGAGAUGGGGCCAAUGAAAUUGUAUAAUUGUGAAUGGUUUUGUAGGAACCAAAAAUAAAGUCUAAAUCUGAAAAUGUAGGACGUAGUGCAGCCAGGUACCCUCAUCUGGGUCUUGCAAUUCUUGCUUGUCCUGUGUCACAAAUGGGUGCUCCCAAAACAAUGGUUGGACUUUCAAAGGGCAGCAGAAUUCAGCAACAAGGCCAGUGUUUACAUUGAAUGCCACCGUGAAAAGGUCUUGCACCCUUUAUUCUUGAUCUUAAAAUAAUCACUUCAUUCAAAUGGCUCUUUUCAAUAAACGCAUUGCCUUCCAAGCAGUAACAGCAAUUCAGUCACUGACUUUACUAGCAUUUGUAAUCUGGAAUUUUUUUUAACGAUUUUAGCUGCAGAAUGCUUUGGUAAUCUUCAGGUUGAAGGGUGUUACAUCACUGUGAGAAAUCACUAAUGCCAAAUAAUAAGUUUAGACAAAAAGCACUAUAUGCAAACCUUGAUACAUAUCAAAAGAGUUACAAAAGCCCUUCUAGAAAAUGAUUGAUGGUAAUCUGAGCACGAUUUUUCUUGAGCAGGGUACGGGCCACACUUUAGUGAAUAAGGAACAAAGUAUUUCCGUUGUAUUUAUUAUUCCAAUAUACAGACCCAUCCCAAAUUUCAGCUGUUUUUUUCCUCUUUCUCAAUCAAAACCACACCAGCUUGGGGCCAAUGCCAAUACACACACUUCCUAUCUUUGUUUGAGGCUCCCUGCAUCUCCAGAGAGCACUGAUGUAGUCCAGCAUCUUGCUUGAAGCCUGCAGCCGUUUCCUCAGAGUCUUCCUUACAAGACUCCAAUGCUUCAGUGACUUUCUGCAUCAGCAGUUCCAUCUUUGGGGCACGAAGAUUGAUUUUCUUUCUUCCUACAAGGCAAAAGUCCAGAGUGUGUGCCCCCCGCCUCCUACCCAGAGGGACAGACAAUACAACCACCAGGAUCAACUUGAAAAACUCGUCCAGGGGGAGCCUUCCCACCACCUCUGUGCUUCUUACUAGGUUAAGUGCUCCAUAUAUCAAUGAAGGCGAGCCCCGCUAACCCGAGUUCCCACAACAGCUGCGUGCCGUAGUUAUCUGUUUCUGAAUUUUUGUAACCCUCCAUGGCUCCUGCACAGAAAGUCUGCACACAGCAUUUCAGGGCAUGCGUGAUCAUUCAGAAUGGAAUUUUGAAAUGGGGGCCUGAAGAUCACAUCUUGGUCUAGGGUUGCAUUAAAAAUAACAAGGUAUCUGAUUGGUUAGGAAAUCAUGAAUGUGGCCAUACAUCUAUGUGCACCUUACCAAUGUUAUUUAUGGUUGUUUUUAACACUCAAACUGCCUCAAUGUGUUAAUAGAUUGCUUAAAAAUAAAAGUUUUCAUAUUUCAGAACUGGGAAAAUUCCCCUUUUAAAGCAGGCUUAAGAGUCUCAGGAACAUAUUUGAAUUUUUAAUUGAAAUAGUUGGGGAAAGGGAAGGGCAAAGUUUAAUGAGCCUCAACAAUACAUCUCUUUGCAGAGGGAUUACGUUCUGCGCUUUAAGAAAGUACUUUUCCAUUUUACGCAGAGGAGAUUGAUGGUAGGACAAGGCAGUGGAGGUAAAGAGAUAAUAUGAACACAUGUGAAGUAGACCAACCAGAUUCCACAUUUACCAGUAAUGUGGACCUACAAACUUAUUUAAAGAGCGUGCGUGAAAUAAUGUUAUGUUGUUUAUUAAUAUCACAGAUUUAAGAGUAACAAUAUGUUAUGUUUCCUAAGCUCUACCUCUAUACAAAUAAAAUAAAUAGUAAUGAUUAGAAAGACACAAACUGGAAAGGCACUCACGUUAUUUUAAUAGAAACUACACUAUGAUCUUAGCUAGGAAGGGCAUUGGUCAUUUCCUCAUUCGCAACUGACUACUACAGUUUUCUAGAAGAAAAUGGCAAAAACCUCCAAAUCAUCCUUUGAAUAACAAAUUAAGCAAAUAAAUGUUGCCUUGAAUCAAGGUAUGAAAAUUGGCUAUUUCACUUUUUCGAAAUCAUCCAUACAGUUAAUUGACAUUUGAUUAUACUGGCAUGAUACUUCAAAUUUUAAAAAUUAAAUUAUUACCAUGUGGUCUGUCUUUGAAACCAUCCAUAACACAUCUUUAGAAAAAUAAAUGUGAUACCAUCUGAUGAUAUAUUAAAUUGUGAUUUGUUUUAUUCACAAAGUGAUUUAUUUUAGUCUAUAUUUGCUUUCUAUGCUAUAUCAACCUUAAUAUUUUCUGAUACAAGUUGCCAAAUAAAUAUUCUUUAUCAACUCAAAUGCAUAGCAUGUGUUUGCAUCCUGUUUAUCAAGACACGCUUUAUGAAGUCCCUCACAUUUUCGAAAGAACCUAUUGAAAUAAAAUUUGAAGAAAAUGUCCACAAAUGAAGAAGGAGAGAACUUAGCCAAUGUCUGGAGAUUUAAAUGUCAAAUUCAUAUCAAAAUUUCUCAUGAUUAUAUAAAGCCACAUAAUCUUAUAAAGAAAAGUGAGUACGUUUAUCUUUAAUAAUACAAAUAAAUAAAAGAGCAGCAGAGAUUCACAGUCCCUCUAUGACUUUCAUUAACAGAAAUCUGGCAAGCAAACUAUUACAAGUAGUGUUGACUUAGCAACAUUUUUUUUUUUUUUGGUGGUAGGGAGUGGUGAUGAAAAGGGCAGAUUAGAAUGAUAUACGUCAAAUAUUAGUAGCCUUUUAAGAAGCCAUCGCCCAUGGCCCUUAACCCUUUACAGAUGGCAAAUCAGGUGCAGAGCAAAUGAAAUUAAGAUGAUACUUUGUUGACAGGAGCAAGCAGAUUCCGUUUUCAUCCCUACAGACAACAGGAAUGACAUCACAUCUUUUCAAACUGACAUGUUAAUGAAUUUAGCAACACCUGAACUUUUCUGGCACUGGACACCUUUGACCCAGAUUCCUAAAUGUCAAGGAGAGGCCCAAGACGUCUCAAUCUCGCUUAACGCAAACGGGAAGCCAAGGGUUUUUAAAGGUGAAACAGAUCUUGCUAAUGAAGCGGUAUCACUCUUCUUGGGGCGUGCAGCUUGUUAGUCCGAGUGAGACACUGUUAAAAAGGAGCUUUAAUGGAAACUAUUCAAACAGACGAGCCAUGAAACUUUUGUUCAAAGAAAAAUGUGUUCUUUAUGGGUUACUUUCCUAUCAUGUUGAAUCUUACGGUUCCUGGGGUUCAGUUCUUUUUGUUUUGGAGUCUUCAUAACUCCAAUGACCUGCAAUCAACUUCCAUCUUGAAUAAACUUUCCAAAUGUUUAAUGAGUGUGUAAUUUACUUUUACUAGCUAACUGGCCUUGGUACACAGAGUUUUUAAAGAUCCAAAGCUACCUCUGAUAAGAAAGUGUUGGAAAACCCAAACAAAAAAUAUUUGUUUUCUUAAGAAGGAAUUCAUAAAAACCAUGGUACUGGAUUUGAAUACAAAAGUGCUAUGCAUAAGUUUUCACAAACACACCACUUAUAAAAUGUAGCAUCAGUUUAUCAAGAAAAAGUUGGCUUAACGCUGCACUUACCCUUAAGUUAUCUAGAUUGCUGUAGCUUAGGUUCUUUGUGUAACACAGGGUUAGUUUUCAUCCACUGGAAACACGCCGGACUUGAAACCUUAGCAGGACAGUAGAUGCUAAUCCAGGGUAAAGCCUGAAGGAGGGAAACAGUAUAUAUUAAGAGAAAGCCUUAUGAUGAUCAUGGGAUCAAAACCAAACAUACUCUUAUCGAUGAUUCUUUGGGUUAGAGUCAAUCCAUGGAAAGCCCCUCACAAUCCCAGAAGUUUUCUGGGACAUGUCCAAC